AAUUCCUAAGGGAAUAUACAAAAUUUGGUGAAGUAAAUCCUCUUCUUAGCAGUAGAGGCUAAUGUAGAGCUUCGAGGACUAACAUCAAGGAGCAGAACAUCAUACGGGACUUGCAUGUAGAUAUAAACUUUAUGUACAUUCUGUAAAGACUCGAAAAAAAAAGGCAUCAACAGGCACUGUGAAAUAGAUGUAAAUAUCUCUAAGUACACUGUAGUGGGUCAACGUUUAUCUAUACCUCCUUCAAAAUCAAUGCGAGUGAACACCCAAGUUUUCUAGAAAGAUGAAUCAUUUUUUUGUAUAAAGUAGAUCAACUAAUGAGAAGCAUAGUAGGCAUAGAAGAUAGCAGAACAGCCUAAGAAUGAGUAGAACAGCAUGUAGGAUGAGAGGGGCACCAACAUGCUAGAUGAGAUGAUAUGAUCGUUUAAAGUGAAUAGCGAUGGAGGAGGGAAGUGCAUAAGCAUGAAUCACAAAAAUGUACUAUGUCCAAGGAAAAAAAAAUCUGAAGGCAGUCAAGAUGAUACUGAAAUCUGAAAGCUACAUGAGUCCAGAUUUUUGCAUGGAAAGAAAGUGCAUAAAUGUCAAAGCAGAUGAGUUUAUAAACCAUGUAAAAAAGUGUUCUCAAGCUGCAAUUGGUUCAAAGGAGAGAUCUAUUAAAUCGGUGAUAAUAGCAAUAAGAAACUGUAGUGAAUGAACUCGAAAUAUGGAUUAAUGAAAAGAUGAAUUUAAAUUUAUGUUAUUUGCUUUGGCUUGUUAUUGCUCAAAAACAUAAUGUGAUUUUCUAUGUUUAUAUAGGGCGUGGUAUUAUGUAGAGUGCUUUUUCAAAAAGACUAUUAGGUCAUGGUUUCUUUACAAAUAAUAUUAUGCUUCUCCUCUUGUUUUUGUUCAUUAACAUUAGACCAUGAUGAGUCAAAAAGUUCUUUUUUUUUUAAGGAAAAAGGUCAAAAACUUUGGAAGAGA
This 957-nucleotide long non-coding RNA is filed under the name Phoenix dactylifera (date palm). RNAcentral's name for it is "long non-coding RNA (PDAC_LNC016557)". Lineage: Eukaryota; Viridiplantae; Streptophyta; Magnoliopsida; Arecales; Arecaceae. The record is from RNAcentral.